CAGAGAGUAGUUUAAAUAAAAUUUUAAUUUUGGAGAUUAAGGAUGAAAGUUACUUUUUUCUCUGA
This 65-nucleotide transfer RNA is filed under the name Athous haemorrhoidalis. RNAcentral's name for it is "tRNA-Pro". Lineage: Eukaryota; Metazoa; Arthropoda; Insecta; Coleoptera; Elateridae. The record is from RNAcentral.